AUUGAACGCUGGCGGCAGGCCUAACACAUGCCAGUCGAGCGGAUGAAGGGAGCUUGCUCCUGGAUUCAGCGGCGGACGGGUGAGUAAUGCCUAGGAAUCUGCCUGGUAGUGGGGGAUAACGUCCGGAAACGGGCGCUAAUACCGCAUACGUCCUGAGGGAGAAAGUGGGGGAUCUUCGGACCUCACGCUAUCAGAUGAGCCUAGGUCGGAUUAGCUAGUUGGUGGGGUAAAGACCUACCAAGGCGACGAUCCGUAACUGGUCUGAGAGGAUGAUCAGUCACACUGGAACUGAGACACGGUCCAGACUCCUACGGGAGGCAGCAGUGGGGAAUAUUGGACAAUGGGCGAAAGCCUGAUCCAGCCAUGCCGCGUGUGUGAAGAAGGUCUUCGGAUUGUAAAGCACUUUAAGUUGGGAGGAAGGGCAGUAAGUUAACACCUUGCUGUUUUGACGUUACCAACAGAAUAAGCACCGGCUAACUUCGUG
Molecule: ribosomal RNA, 484 nt
Filed under: uncultured bacterium
Lineage: Bacteria
Description: partial 16S ribosomal RNA
Rfam family: Bacterial small subunit ribosomal RNA
Source: RNAcentral